This 277-nucleotide ribosomal RNA is filed under the name uncultured prokaryote. Its description in RNAcentral is "partial 16S ribosomal RNA". It matches the Rfam family "Bacterial small subunit ribosomal RNA", at positions 524 to 801 of the family's 1533-position model. The record is from RNAcentral.
UACGUAGGUGGCAAGCGUUAUCCGGAAUUACUGGGCGUAAAGGGUGCGUAGGUGGUUUCUUAAGUCAGAGGUGAAAGGCUACGGCUCAACCGUAGUAAGCCUUUGAAACUGGGAAACUUGAGUGCAGGAGAGGAGAGUGGAAUUCCUAGUGUAGCGGUGAAAUGCGUAGAUAUUAGGAGGAACACCAGUUGCGAAGGCGGCUCUCUGGACUGUAACUGACACUGAGGCACGAAAGCGUGGGGAGCAAACAGGAUUAGAUACCCCUGUAGUCCCUGAG